RNAcentral lists this long non-coding RNA (25261 nucleotides) under Xyrichtys novacula (pearly razorfish). The record is from RNAcentral. Lineage: Eukaryota; Metazoa; Chordata; Actinopteri; Labriformes; Labridae.
CAUAAACAGCCGGUGUUAAAAUACGUAAUUUCAACGGUUCGGUGGGUUCGGCGGAGGAAUAGGAAACCGACCCUCUCUAGAGAGUUAAAUGUUUAUAAGUUAAUGAGAAAAAUAUCAUAUUUGUCACGUUUGCAACAGUUUAUCACGACUACAAACGAGGUACGUCUUGAACGCACCCUUCAUUUUGGCGGUCGAUUCAAACCGUUUCCCUUCAGUUCAGUCAUUCACAAACAAACCUGUGAUUAUCAGCAACUACUCUAACUCGUCAAGAGCUAAUUCUCCUGCUAACAGCUGCAAUAUUAAGGAUUUAUUCUUUCUGACUCCAUUUUCAGCCGAUGGCCCCACCAACUACGUCUUUAACCGAGGCUUCAGGCUGGAGAGGAGCUUCUUCACAACAUGGCGCCCGUGAUUCCCUAACGGCAGUGGGACGCUCCUCCUUAAACCAGGUGAGUUAAAGCUGCUGAUACUAACGCAACCUCGCUUACUGGAUGUUUUGGCUUUGUCAAACUGGUGUUUGUUUGUUUGGAAAUGAGAUAAGAGGCUUUCCAUGUGGUUACUUGCAAAAUAUUUGUUUGGACAAAAAUCUAAACACAGUUGUUCUUUCUGGGCUGGAAAGUUGCUGGUUUAGAGCAACUUGCUCUUGGCUGUGUUAAAGCGCGACUGUGAUAGUUGAAUAUGACUGGUUGUAGCAUUCAUGACUGAGUAAGCUGGUUGUUAUUUUAGUUACCUAUCUUCAUUCUCAACCGAUGCUGUUGUAGUCUGCUGUGAAGUGUUUUUGUUUUUGAGGCAUUUUACUUCUUAUUUUUAAUAUGCUGCUUUUUUCCCUAAGUACGCUUAAAAAUCUUUGUUUUUCUCUUUUCUUGCUCUGCUCGUGUGUCAUGGUCUGCUGCUGUGCAACUUUCAGUCUUUUAAAAAACCAACACUAUGAACAUUAUCAGGAAACAAAGUGGUGGAAAUAAUAACUUGUGAUGUUUUAUUCAAGCUUCAAGCCGUGGUGCUGAGCAUGCAUAAUACCACAGUUCUGAGGGCUGAAACUUAUUGAAAUUCAGCCAUGAUUUUUGUACUGCUUUCCUUGCAUUAAUACUUCCAAUGGUCUCUCUUGAUUUAAGGUAAAUUGAACUUAUCGAAACUAUUGUGUGAAGUAAAGUACCAAAGUUGAGGUAUUGUCCACUUAAAGGAGGUUUUAACUAUAAUUUCAAGUUUCAGCCCUCUGUUCUUCUGUUGAGUCCACUUAAUAGCUUGUAUCUGCUCCCUUAUCUCAUAACAUUUCUUUGGGAUAAAGACAACCUUUCGUGCUACUCUGUGUCUAGUGCAGCUUUAAAAAAGAUGAACAGUCAUCCACUAUUUGCCAAGAGUUCACACCAUAUACAAUACCCCGCAAAAUCCAUACUUUUACAGACAUUCUUCGUUUUACUACCACAGAUCAAACUACUUCACAUUGUCGGUCAUAUGCUCUGCGGUAGAGCUGGAAAAAACUCUCAGACUGUGUAUCGAGCAGCCAACUAGUUGACUGACAGAAAUUAUUCAGCAAUUUCCUUUUCACAGUCUAAUGCCAGACAUUUUCUACUUAACAAAUGUGAAGAUUUCUGUUUGCUAUGAUAAUAAACUGAGUAGCCUUUGUUUUGGCAGGAAAGCAGCAUGAAUAGAUCUUUAUGCAGUUUUGGAAAGUGCUGCUGCAGCCCCGUUUCUCCACAGUUGUAUGAUAUUUUGUGUACUACAAUGGCAGAUUGUUCACUUUGCAAUAUUGUUGUCUGAUUGAAACCCACACUGCCUGAUGCUUUAGUCUGUUGUUUCUUUUUGCACCGCUGAUGAGCAGACUCUGCUAUGACACUACAUGUUGCUCAGCUUCAUCUGCAACAUCUAUUUGUAGGUUUUUCAAGUCAGGUAGUUAAUUGUUGUCACUAUCCCGAUCUAAGUUGCGGUGAGCUGAAAGUAUCAGCUUUAUAUCUGUAAGAGGUGUGUUUUUACAGUCGUUUAAAGUUGUUUGACCUGUUGCAUUUGAAGCUCGUUAGCAUUUAUACACUGAAGGCAGACACAACAGUUGUUCUCCUGUCACUGUAAAUGAAAUAAAUCAACACGCCAAUCAGUUAUGUGGUCUGUUAGCCCUGAAAGAAGAGGCCACCCACAACCACUGACCUACAACUCAUUAGCUCUAAUGGAGUCAGUUUAAUGAGCCCCGUCUGGGAUGACUGACAAGCAGCCUGUCGCUGGCACACAAUCCAGUCUGCAGACCACAAACAAUCGACCUCCCCCUGAAAAAUGGCUCUGCUUCAUUCAUAUGGUAAAAGUCACACAGGCUGCUCUGGUAACCUGAUCCAGCUUCAGGGCUGGAUCUCAUUCAGAGGGGCAGGGAGGUGCAGGUGACUUUAUCUGAAAGCCAGCAAUGGGCUUUGAAUGACAUGCUGCACAUUGCACUGCUGGGACCACUGGUGCAAAACUGAACUCCCAACUUUGAGGUCCAGGACAACAGCUGCAGCUGGACUCACUGACUAUUUUGUAUUUUGUGUAAAACUUGCCUAAAGCUAAUUGGCAAAAGACUGUUUAUUAUCCAAGUGAUAAUCUGUAGUUAUUAAAUAAAACACAGUAGGAGUGCAGCGGACCAAAAAUCUUCUGGUUCAGUUCUGUUUCACCAGCUUUGGUUCAGUUUGGGUCACAAAUUGGACGUAGAAGAUCAUUUUUUAGAUCAGUGAAAAACAGAUAAUUUACAUAACUUGUCUACUUCGCACCGAGCCGCAGCUCUGACUGUGCAUUUCAUGGCACAAUGGAAAUACCUCUCAUUCUCAUCUAUUUCAAUAACAGUUUUUUUUGCACUAAUAUUAUUCAACUACAGCCUUAAAAAGCUAGAGGACUAGGACAUUUGGUUAGGACUUUUUCAUUUCUGCUUUUACAUUUCGACUGUAAAAAAAAAAAAUACCAGUGACGCUGGUGCUGUUUGUGUUUUUUCUCCUGGUGCUGUUUAUUCACUCAUUUUAACUUCAGCCAUGCACAAAGCUAGCAUUACUGAGCUUAAUGAGCAUGUUUUCUCAAUGCAAAGAGUAGCACGUCCUUCUGAGCCUGAUCAUAUCCAGUCAAUGUACAUGAACCGUCAAGGUGUGUACUGUUGGUCCAAGCAGAUGAUAGUCAAACUGUGAUCCAUGCACCACUAAAACAAGGGUCAGAAUCACUUCUUACUUGCAUUUUUAUAAGGCUGUUUAUCCAUCUAGUUGUGAAUUUAGUGCUUGAUUCCAUUUAUCUAAAAAAGAAAUGCUAAAUAACAUCUGAUGGCAUAGGUUUUCUGAUCAGUUUUACAUCACUGUGUGUGCUUUUUUACUCUUUUUAUUCACAGCCCUGGAAUAUAACUCUAAAAUCUGAGCUUUAAUCACAGUGCUGCUUAAUUUGGAAUAAAUACAAUUACAUUAUUUUUAUUUUUGACAUGCGACUUUGUGUCCCCUCCUAUUGUAAAAUGUCUGAAGAGCUAAUGUAGAGUAUAGUAGUCAAUGUUAUAAUUCCUGAGCCGCUCACAUCCUAAUGGGUGGAUGAUGUGAAUCCAUUAAUUAGCCGUGAAGGCGGCUCUGAUUUAAAGACUGCAUAGAUUCACAGUCACUGACAGAAAGAUCCAGAAAUGACAGAGUGCAAACAUCUCUUAACUCAAACUGUUUUCAGUCAAAGGUAAAAGGGGCAUAAUUUUGUUGCCAUAGCGACUGCAGAGCUAAAUCCUCCCUGAGGCUUCUUUUUUGGAGGGACUUUGGAGAGUAGGUAGACGCGAAGAAAAAGUGUCAAAAUGUGAGAAACAAAAAAUACACACAGAGAGGGAAAAGUUACACACGGCUCACAGCUAUACUUUAGGAUGGAAUAGAGGAAGCCACUGACAACUGUUCCUCAUUACUGAAACACUUCUUGACUGAAGUCCAGCACAAAAAGGUGAAGAAUAGUUCAGCUCUCAUUCAUAGUCCCAUUGGAGGAACGCUGUUCUCUCAGAACUCAGAUCUUGCAUCAGGCCGCUCGACGAAGAUCUCUGCACACACACACACACACACACACGCACACGCACACACACACACACACACACACACAAACACACACAGCAGCAACAGCAGCAGGUGAUAUCUGGCAGUGAGCAUAAGACAGGAACAGGAACAAAAGGAGGAAAUUGUGUGGAAAGUUCGCAGUAGGAAGGCUUGUCUGUUGGUUUGGAUUUUUAUAUUUUUCAUUUUCCUUUAAUAUAGUAUCGACCCAUUUUCAAUUUGUAAACAACAUCGAUCUACCAGGUGGGAAGUAUUUAGACAACAUUAGUGCAGUGGAGUGCAAAACAUUCAAAAGAGGAUAAACUAGAGAUGCACUGAUCCAUUUUUUUCCGAUACCGAUACCUGGGCUGAGUGUAGGGUUGGGCGAUAAAACGCUAACGAUAUAUAUCAAAAAUGAAUUUCCCUUGAUAUCGAUAUGAAACAUGGUCAAUAUUCUUUUCGAUAGUCGGCUUUCUGCCAUGUUUUGGUAGACGAUACAAAUAGCAAAUGAACAUGAAUGAAUGAAAUGAAUGAAUGAAUGACACAAAGACCUCACAGACGCAGUAGCUUAUUGUAUUGUAAAUGACAUGCUACCAAUAAGCACAGUUAAAUUUCCUUUAAGAGUAACAGGGAACAUUUAAGAUUGACAAGUGAUUUUUUCAUAUCUUGAUUGAUAUUGAUAUUGACUGAUAUGAAAAAAAUAUACCUUAGACAAACUUUUUCCCAUAUCGCCCAGCCUUAGCUGAGCGUAUCGGCCAAUAUCCGAUACAGAUCCAAUACUUUUGUUAAGUGAAUGAACUGUAUACCUUUCCCUGUGAGUGAAUUCAUCAGGCUUGACAUUAGCCUUGUAAAAAAAAGGUGACGAAUUAACAAAGAUAUAAAUUUACUUAAUAUUAUUUAUUAACAAGUAACAAAUUGCACAUUAGCACACAGCAUAAAGAAGUAACACUUCCAUGUAAACAUUUAGUGCAAAAGGAUUGACAGACAUAGAAUUGGAGUGAACAGAAUCGCUGUGUUGCUUUUUAUGAUAUUAAUUAAAAGAAAAAACUGGAUCGGCCUCAUUCAUCAGAUUUGCGAUCCACUUAAUUUGUCGAUAUCAGAGCGGAUAUCCGAUCCAAAUAUCGGAUCGAUGCAUCCCUAGGAUAAACCACCAUAAAAAUCCCAAAUUCUACCUUAAAUGACUUUGACAAAUGGUAAAUGACUUCUUCUGACAUUACUCAGUGGACAAAUGUUCAGUGGUCAGAUGUUUCAGACGCUGCUGACGUGUUUUACUGUCAAAUGUAAUCCUCCUGUUAACUGGCAGCUUUCAGUUUUCCUGUGAGUAAAACCUGGUCAUUUUGGUGCCAUAACACUGAUUUUUAAGCCACAGCUGCCUUUAGCAAGAAAACACCCAGAAGACAGUUAAAAUUAGGAAAGGGGAUAUGAUAGCACACAGCACAAAAGCAUGCAGUGCAGUAUGUUGUGAUAUGAUACAGCUGUAACGCUGCAGAGUUAAUGCACCAACGACAGAAGAGGAGUACGGAGCAUGUGUAUAAAGGUUGUUUUGGCACCAUAAAAGAGUUACGCUGUGUGUCACAUGAUCGUUUCCAGAGAUGCAGAUAGACAUCCACACGGAGAUGAAAUGGUUGUCGUUUACAGAUUUAUUCACUCUCUGACCUGUUUUCAAAAAGUACCGUUUACAGUCACCUGAAACGCCGUUUCUGUGUGGAUAAGACGCCGGUCCGACAAAAAACUUUAGCGAUUCCUCCUGAAUUAGUUUCCGUGGUAACAGGUUGAUACCGCCUUCAGACAGACUCUGCAGCGGGGAGUGGUUUGCUCUUCAUCUGAAACUGACUCGCUCUUGUCCAAUUUAGCCACGAAAUUAUCGCCGUCUUUUGCAAACGCCAUGUUUGUUUACACUGGUGUGUGUCGGAACUGGGGAGCGCUCCCGCAAGGAGGAGCCCCCCGGUGGCCUGGAGGUGCCAGACAUGAUAGAGAGGAAAAUCAAUUCAAAGAUUUUAAUUUUUUUAAACAUCGUCAUAAUCAAAUAAUCAGAUUAUGAUUUAAAAUCGAUUAAUCGUGCAGCCCUACAAUGAUUUAACUCACAUGUAAUUCUGAGAGAUGACUAGUGAUCGUAGUUUACUCAGUGCACACAUCCCUAAUCCAAACUGAUCGAUAUCCAAAAUGUUCCUGCUGAUUUUUGAACCUCUAUCCAAGUUUGCCGUGUGAGAGAGAUUGUGAGUCAGAAUUUGUGAGUGAAAAAGAGAAAACCACAUGACUGACAGACGGCAGCUUCAGCUCAGGAUGUGGUCAAUAAAGCAAUAAAGCUUAGGUCAGUCAUGAUCCAUUUUGAAAGUAAUCUCCUCCUCAGCAUUUUGAUGGAUUAUUUUCAGUGUCACCUUCAUGCCAAGGUGUUAGAGUAAACUAGAUUUUUGUUUUAAUGUGUUUAUUUUCAUCAGUCAGGAUGAAUAACGGCCUCAUUACCCAGAUGGAAACAAACCGUUCUGAAGCCAAUAUUCUAACGCUACUAUGGAUACAAUCAAAGACCACAACAACAUGAUGUAACGCAGUAAACCUGUUGUCAUAAAUUAUUCCUUAUUGCAGUCGGCUCACAUGUGCUAAUAGCUUACACAUGGAAGCUGAUGGCUGUAACAAAAAGGCGAACACUGAACAUUACAAUGUUGGAGGGCUCACAUGCAACACAUUUCAGAUUACACUUGAAGGAUUUCAGCUUUUGCUGCCGCUUGCCUCAGCUUGCCUGAGAGUCGCACAGAGGUGAAAUGUCUUACUUUUUCUCUUGGCAACUAGUCAAAGGAAACCCGUUAAAGAGGAUAAUAACACAUAAUUUCCCAGUUUUCCUUGACUGCUGUCCUGUUGCAUCUAGUUGAGGCAAUUUUCUGUCUGACUGUUAUCUGACGACUAUGUGGGAAACGGUUUUUCCAGCAAAAUAUGACCUUUGGUUUUGAAACGGGGCCUCCGCCGGCAGUUGGUUGUGAUUCAAGGCAGAUGUGUGAAAGUCUGCCUGGCGCAUAUCAGGUCCAAACUGAGACCAAAGAGGAGAUGAGGGACGCCCAGUCUGUCAGAGGGGCAAACUUUUUUAGUGAUGCAACGGUCAGAAACUUCAGGGAUAACGCCGAGAGAGUUUUAUGACAACAUCUGGAUGACAAGAGCUGCCUGAUGUUUGUUUCCUGCAACCGGAAACACAAUCUGUAGAAAUUAUAUCAUAUCUUUGAGAAUUAGGGUUUACAAGCCAAGCGUUUCCCAAAAGAGGACUUAACACACACUUCCUGUUGACCGCCAGGAUUAUACAGUCUCCACACACACAUGCUACACGAUCUAAUGAACUCCAAGACCUCAAAGAUAAGUGAAAACAGCAAGAGGAAGAAUGUGUCAUAAAGCACUCGACAACUUUCUUUACGUUAACCGAAGACAUGAAACACAAUGACAGACUAUGACAGAAACAACCGCACAAGGAUGGUAAACGGCCGAUUUAACAAGGACAGUUUCAUUACUCACUGAUGCCUGUGUUUGGUCUCAGUGUGCUGAGGAAACACAGCUGACCCCAGUCUCCAUACACACACUGGAACCAAACACAACAGAGGAACAGGCCCAGCAGCUCUGGUACACCGAAUUACUUAAAUACGCUCUUACAACUCCGACUCAAGGGGGUCAGCGAAUUUGAUGAUCUGUUUUCAUCAUCUGGUGGCACGCGUUCAAAAAUCAGCGGAAGUUUAGUUUGAGUAGUUUGCGAUCAAACCUUGGCAGAGCUCCGUCUCCUGAGAUGAACUCUAUCAUCACUCAAGCGACUUGUGAAUUAACUUUGGCUCGGUUCAGGGUCGAGCUCAAAAGCAGCCUCGGUGAAAUAAUGUGGUUGCAUCAAACUCUCCUGAUGAUAAUGAUGUUUGCUUUAAGGAUUACAGCCAGUUCAAUAAUUGGACGACGUUACGGCAGCAGAAUCCAGAUCAGAUAUGGUUUUCAACCCUUGGACCGAGCGGCUACUUCGAUUUCUCUUAUGGAAAUUAUUUGGCUAGACUUUCUGCUUUCGCACGUGUCCAGACACUGCGUAUGUUAACUCUUUUACUGUUAUAUAAAAAAAACAAACAAACAUGCAGAUCCUUGAGAUAUCAGACUUGGACAUUUCAAGAAUUCUGCUGGAAAAACACUGAAGCCAUUUGAGUCAACUAUUUCGCUUUGCGCUGGAAUUUAUAGUUUUGAGUUUCUGUCCUCUCUCCUGUUUUCUUAUUUUUCAGUUAAUCUGAAAACAAGACCCCAAAAUAUAUUGAAUUGUGGUCUGUUUUGUUUGUGGUAGCUCAUUUUUGUGUUGGGCCAAAGUGUCCCAAAUGCUGCUUUCAUUUUUUAACAAAUGAAAAGCAGAACACAGAGGGGCCACGGGGGCUCGGAGUUACUUCCACAAGUCAAGUUAUCAUGUCUGACGAUUUAUCCCACAAAAAGACAAUAGAGAAGAUAAAGCUUCAUGAACCAAUCCUCUAAACCUGCACUCACAACAGAGAAGUUAGUAGACGACAUGAAAAAUUCAGCCUUGCUCGCUCAAUCAUUCAAGAAUUUGUGAUGAUGUUGUUGUCCUGAAUUCUAGCUCUCAUCAAUACAGAAUGUUUAUUUAGUUAAUUAUGGUCCCAUUAACAAUAAAUCAGAUAUAGAAACCGAUAUGGACAUUCAUUUCAUUGUAAAAACUCCUGUAACAGAGUUGACAUUAAAAAUAAUACAAGAACAUGUGAAUUUCUCAUAAAUGUUCAGUAGCCACUCAGAAAUACAUCUGUUAUCGACUUCAGACUCUUCAAAAUACUGAAAUACAGCCAAUAUAUGUAUGGUGUUAUCUCAUGCACAUAAUUAACAUAAUUAACACAUCAGCUUUCUCGGCAGAUAACUAAAAGCAGAAAUUUUCUUAUUUACAGAUUCCGAUGAUUAUAACUUUCUAAGUUGUUACCUGCUAAUGCUGAUAUCAUGCCAAUAAUGCAUCCCCAGAACAGUUUGUUCAUCUUAUUUAGUUUAAAAUCCUCCCUGUAUAUUUUCAAACACUUUUUAAGGUGUUGUGUUGUCUUAAAACUAGGGGUGCAACAAAUAGUUGCCAUCGACAAAAAUCGAUGAUGAAAAAAGUCGACAAUGAAUUCCGUUGUCGACUAUUGUCACCAGACGUGUUUUUUCCAGUGGAGUGAGGCAUCUUACUUACACAUGCGCAAUCGCAUCUCCGCCGAGCAGUAGGGUAUUCAAACAUUCAAACAGCGUUUAUUAUCAUUGCCACUUAAUUAAAGCAACCUCAUGUUAAAUUUAAGAAAAUAUUAUAAUAGUUGGUGACUUGUCCAUUAUUAAAAUAGUCGUUAGUAGCAGCCCUACCUACCGCAGUUUUUUGCUGACAUGUUAAGAGUGACAACAGAGAGUUGAUGUAGUUUUUGUAAAUAAGUUAGAAUCAGGUUUUAUCAUCAGUAUACAGCUGAAAAAUGAUCUGAGGACUUCUCUUCACUGUCCUGUACAGACGCUGAUGCCUUAAAUGGUUGUUGGAAUAGAUACAACAGACAUUGACAAUCUCAUGUUUUCUAUCCUGUGAUUAUAUAACCCAAAGGUUCAGAGUUCGACGCAAAGUUAUAGUUAUUCAGGCUCUUAAGGGUCAUUUUAGAAAUGGAGGUGUGGUUAUAGUAAUUGCACAGAGUUGGCUCUGGCUGUGGUUGUUGCGUCCAAUGUUAUAUCAUUUCAUUUCUCUUCCGGUAUUCCAGUCUGCGGCUUCGACCGAGGAUUGUUCUCAGGGUUUCUCAUAAACCAAGGCGAGAUGGUUCCUAGCCAUUAAAAGUGCUCUCUCAAGUCAUCGAGUUAUUCAGUGGCCAAACUUCAUCCCCAUCUCUGCAAGUUCUCCCAAACGGUUUCAUUACCCAAGAGCCCCAGCUUCAGAGCAGCAGUCCACACCACUGAUGUGGGAUUUCAGUCAUGUAUGUGUGAUUGAUAAAUCCAACACUUUAAAUCCAACAUGCAAAUUUGGUCAUCAGAGAGACAUCACAUCUGUUAGAUACUUAUGAAGUGAGUAUCUGAACAGGAUUGGAAUUUUACAGACUAUUGUUUAUUAAUUUCUCUGUUUAAGCGAAGAAACUGCAAAAAUGUUUGAACUGUUAGAUGAUGAUCUUUGUCCACUCAGUCCUUCACAUUUCUGUCUGCUUUACAAGACUGGUCAACAGACCUCAACAUGCUCUGCAGUAGGGCUGGGCGAUAUGGCCUCAAAUCAAUAUCACGAUAUAUUGAUCAGUUCACCUCGAUAACGAUAAAUGGGCGAUAACUACUCCACAAGCUGCUCACCCCCUCCCACAUUAACUUUGUCUACUUCAGCCGCGCCAACUUUCUCUCCGUCCUCCAUCCCCUCACCUGUCUUUCCCUCUUUGUUACGGACUGGAUGGGGUGGAGUCACGUCUCUGACGUAGGACAGCGUCUUAAAGGGACAUGACACCAUAACCUACCUACACACAAAAAACAACUUUUCUUAAUUUAACACCAAAUAUACCGAUACGGGCAAAAUGACAUUGGUUAUUAUCGCAAAUUUUGAUAUCUGUAAAUUUUCGGUUCAUCGCCCAGCCCUACUCUGCAGAGACAAAGAGAGACGAAUGGGUAGACAUAAACUGCAACCUUAAUGGCUGGUGGAGGUAUACAACCUUAAGGUGGAAAUUCUACUUAAGACAUGCUCUUAAAGUGUCAAACGUUGGCGCCUUCUCGAACUCAGUCUAUUCUGAUGUGUCGUGGCGUCUGUCUGUGACAGUCUGAAGUCAGUGUCAGCUUUCACUGUGUUUUGACAGUUUGUGGAAAAUCAAACUGUGUCCUCUUUUGGCUUCUGUUUUGAUCCUUGCUUUGACACUUUGUGGUGAACUCUGUCCAAACUGAUUAUUUUAAAGGUUUUUCGCUCACUUAAGCUUAUGAUUAUAUCUCAACUAUUAUGACCAUUCAAGCAGCAUCUCAUGUAACCCAGGACAUCUUCUGCGGCUCUUGUCUGCUGCAGCUAUUGUUUCUGUUGCUGAAAUUUGCCUCAUUAUGGUUGCACCUUCUCCAAAUAAAAUCAGCCCCCGCUGUCAUAUGAAGCGACAUAGAAGUGCCGUUGUGUACUUAAAAAUGCAUACGUGGUUCAGCUCUGCUCCAAGAUAAUUUGGCUGUUUGUAUCCUGACACUUUUAGUGGUCGUCUGGGCUUUUGCCUUAUUUGUGUUUACAGCCUCUAAUCCAAAAGAAGUUUCUGUUAAACAAUUAGCCCAUACUCUGAACUUGUGAUGACUCAGGGAUAUUACAAGCUAGAAUGUAACGUUAUUUUAGAGUGCACAAUUAGAUGUUGGAUGCACAUGUCUGUUGAAAUAGUUUGUUGAAAUGUAAAGAUGCUGAAUACAUCAUUGACAUUACAUCAGGGACAUGCAUUCUAAACGUAGGGCUGGGCAAUGUAGGAAAAAGUUUAUCACAAUAUAUUUUUUUAUAUCAGUCAAUAUUGAGAUAUAUCACGAUAUAAAAAAUCACUUGUCAAUCUUAAAUGUUCCCUGUUGCGCAGACUUGGAGCAACGCCCCUUUUAUUGGCUUGCAUGGUCGACCAAAACAUGGCAGAAUGCUGACUAUUGAAAAGCAUAUUGACCAUGUUUUAUAUUGAUAUCAAGGGAAAUUAAUUUUUGAUAGAUAUCAUGAUCGUUUUAUCGCCCAUCCCUUCCUAAAAAUUAUUUUUCUUGCUCAUAAUUGGGUUCAUGGAGAGUUGGCUGUGUGUUCCAGAGCAGAAGUUACACAGGAAUGGACGGGUUUAAAGGGUCAGGUUGUAGUUGGCGUGCUGGAUGAGGAGUGUGAGUCACAGUUCACACACUUUGUGUGUGGCCUUAUUGAAACUCACACUCUGGAGAUGAUGAGGUACUCCUGCUUGCUCUUCAGUGGAGGAGAGAGGAAAUACGACUCAUUCGCAGGCACAGGCUUGUUGUAUCUUUGCUCUUUACACGUUUUAUGCGCCGUUUUAAUCUGCUGACUUCAGUGAAAGCUUUCAGACUUGUACCUGUGGCCUAUAUUAGUGUCCAGGGUGAACAGGGGAAGGUACUUGCAGAGAUUUCACCGUCUACAGUUGUACAGCAAAAGCUUUUCAUGCUAACAGACGUGUGCCCUUAAUGUCAUGUUUUUCUGUCCAUGUUUUGUAAGUGGGUACCAUGUUCCUUGAACUGUGCCUGAGGCUGAAAGAGGUGAUGGGACAUGUCUGCAUGGAAGGAUAGAUGCUGAUGCAAUUAUAUAUGAAGAGUGUCGAAUCUGUCCUGAUGCUUGUGAGGUGAGGAUUACCAUAAUAAGCUUCCUUCAGUUUGGGUAAUUACCACCCUGACUUUUAUUGGGACAGCAGGAGAAGAAGUAAAAUAUCCAGUUUUUUUUCUAAACUUUUUCUAAAUUUUAAACAAAUUUACUUUAGAUAGUUCAGAGACGAGUACAUUCAUCUGUUUCUUUCUGCUGGGAUUGGCCCAUUUUCCAAGUUUAGACAAAUCUAACAUCAGAUGUGCCUCUAUUUGAAAUUUGGCAGAUCACAGGAAAGUCUUCAAACCUAAUCUGUCAUUCUUCAUGCAACUACUUGUUCCACCGCGCUCCUCAUUUGCUAACUAUAAAUGUGUCAGGAAAAAGGGGUGUGCCUUUAACAUAUCAGCUUGUGUGUUUUUCCAGGAAUUGCUGUCAUUAAGACAUUUUAUAUCAUGACAGAAGUGCAGCUUUAUUACAUCCCUGUCAUGGCAGGCUGAGUACAUAUUCUAAAUUUGCUCCCUUUGGCCGUUCAGACACGUCAGCUGAAUCCCACUUUUCAGUUUCUUCAUACAUGCUUUUGGGAGGAUUUUCUCUCCACACACGUCUGGAAAGUUAUUGACAAGAACCACAACCAUACCAGUGUCACUUUGUUUAAAUAUAGCAGUUAUAAAAAGGGAAUAUUGUCAAUUUAAGACAAACAACCUCUCUAUGGUGCAAUUUGCCAAGUAAUGCUGACUACAACUGACGCAAAAUAAAAAUAGUGACAUGGAGAAAAUUUCACAGACUCAGGCAUUUUCUCGAUUAAAAAAUGAACAAUACUUUGCAAAUGUUAACAACAACAUAAUUCUACUAAGUGCAGUAUUGUUGAAGAACAGCUAGCGUAUCAGGCUGGCGUACUAAGUGUGUACCAAGUCAUCUAAUGAACAAAUGAAUGCAUGAAUUUCACUUUCUCGCAAGAUUUAAAGCACAAUCAUUUGAUCACAAUCCCAGAAUUCGUUCCUUGGGGAUCAAUGAAGUAUUCUGAUUCAGAUUUGCAUAAUAAACUGAUGUUAUUCUCUCAAACUCAAACUCAAACUUCUCUAUAUCACACAGCAUAUUACCCAUAGGGGUUAAUUUUACUGUAAUAGUCUUAUUAGGGCUGGGCCAUAAACCGAAAAUUUACCAAUACCGAAAUUUACGACAAUAACCAACGUCAUUUUGCCCAUAUGGGUAUAUUUGGUGUCAAAUAAAUCUAUAAAUUAAAGUUAGUUUUGGAUGUGUGUAGGUAGACUAUGGUCUCAUGUCCCUUUAAGACGCUGUCCUACGUCAGAGACGUGACUCCACCCCAUCCAGUCAGUAACAAAGAGGGAAAGACAGGUGAGGAGAUGGAGGACGGAGAGAAAGUUGGAGCGGCUGAAGUAACAAAGCUUAACAUAGACACAUGGUAUGGAAUGACAUCAAAUCAUAUUCAACUCCAGCAAUAAUCUUAAUAAUCACCAAUUUCCUGAGAUUAACUGCCAAAUUUCAACUCAAAUAUUAGAGCUGCAGCUAUCGAUUAUUUUAGUAAUCGAGUAUUCUACUGAAUAUUCUACCGAUUACUCGAGUGAUUGGACCCAAACGGCAGACUCACAUAAAGUUAGAUUUCCCUAUAGCCCUGCAAUGAAGUCCAGACUCAGAGAAAUAGAGAACAAUCGUGGAACAAGCGUGUGCGUUAGCGGAUUGCAAUGCUCGUAUAAAUGAGUACUAGAGGCAGAGAAAAUUCCUCGAUCAUUAUUUGUAAUCGAGGAAUAUGAGGAAUCGUUUCAGCCUUAUGAAAUAUAUCCGAAUCCUGCCAGAAAGAAACUUUCUGUCAUCCAUGAGCCUGUUCUGAGUCGUCCAAAUAUCCUGUUCCAGAACUUUUUAUUAAGUGUUAAGAAUCAGACUACUGUUGGAAGUGCUGAGUAUAACCAGCUGGAUAGGAGUGAGAGAAAAGUGUUUAAAUGGUGCGUAUUACAGGUGCAAGUUGUGGAUAAUGAAACACAAACCACUGUACUGUUAAUAUGUAAAAAAACUGCUGUAAAAAAAAAAAUUAUCAUUAAAAGUAGCUCUAACUCCAAAACCAUAACGCCUUUUUGUUAGUCGUUCACUUUUAAAUCGUACAUGGUAGGUUCAGAUAAUAUUACAUCUUCAGCAGAGAUGGAGAUAAACAAUCAGGUGUCUGUAAAAUGGGAAGAAUAGCAGUCGUUUAGUGUCUAUCACAUGAAGUCUGGAGACAGUCUGGAGACAGUGGACACCUUUCAUCACCUGCUAGUUGAGAAAGAGAGAGAGAGAGGUGUCAAUGAUGGAUGUAGGCAUGCAGAAGCCUUCCCACUCUGCUUCUACUUAGAUGGACCAUAGAGCAUCUGCAACCUGUAUGAUAAUCUGGGUCUGCCAGAUUUUUCUUCUGCCACCUGUGGAACAGAUUGUUCAGCGAUGAGGAAUGUUAGGGUGUAGGAAAAGCCCAUCUGAUGUGCAUUUUUCUCUCUGCAAAAACCAAAAGGGACUGAAAAUGAUGGACAGAAGAAAACUCUUAAACCUAAGCACAAGAAGAAAAGGUCUCACAUCAAAUCAAAACAUCCAUUCACAAAAAUGAGAAAAAUGUUCGAUUGGAGCCAUGAAGGAGUGUCAGGUUUGGGUUAGCCGGGAGCUGGCAGUCAGGCACAAAUUUCCACUGGAAGACUCUCUACGUUCAGAUCGUAAGGAUAUUUGAAACAUGAAACAAACAAAGAAGUCAAAUUUAUGCAGAUGCCAACUGUAUAACUCGUUGCACAUUUGAAAAGAUGGCUACAAUAUUUGGCCCAGCUGAUAACUAUUGUUUAGUCACGUAUGGUUUGCUGCAUGAAUUGAUUAUGUGUGUUUUUCAUUUAUAGCUGGAAAACAAUAAAGAAGGUUUCAAAUAAUGACGUAAGACGAAAGGGUUGAUCAGCAGUUAGCAGACAGUCUUUACUUGUGGAAGAACUUAAGAUUUUCAGAUUUCUCUGUUUGUACCAUGCCCUAAAUAUUCUCCUGUUUCAGUUACGUUUUUCUGAGGCAGUGAUGAUUCAUUUCUGAGUUAACUGUUUAUGGGGUUCAGGCAGGUAUUAUAGCUUUAAAAGACUUUUAGGAUGCAAGUUUAAGGUCAAGAGAAGAGGGCAAUGCAAAUGAAAGAAAAUGUAUACAACUUAGAUCGAAACACUGGAUGUAAUGUGCCACCCCCAGGCAGUAUACUGUGUUUUUAAGAUGUUUCAAUGACUGGUAAUAAAACCACAGGUCACAUUUUGAGACACUGGACAGAGUGAAUGGUUAAGUUUUUAAACAAAUGAAGUUUCAGGGAGAAAUGUCAACUGAGGACAAACCACAGAGAAACACCUUCUGACCUUAACCAGCAACUCAGCCCAGGAGCUUCAGAUGUGCUAAACUCAAAAUUAUUUUUCAGUCUUUUUAAAGUGGGGUUGUAUGAGGCUCUAUUUAGACAUGUUGCUGCCAGAAAAGCAUAUUUAUUUUGAGCCAUUCAAGCAUAUAUAAGUUCUUCCACCUGAAAAACUAUUGGUUGUUGGAAAUGGGACCAUCCAAAGCUGACUGUGAAGGCAAAUUAGUUCAGGACUCGUCUGGAUUGAAGGAUACCAGUGGCUCACAUACAGCUGCAGUCUGCAUUGCUCACAUUGCUCCAGUUUGCAUCUUUUUCACUUUCUUCAUUAUUCAGAAGUGAAAUCAGGAAAAUAGAAAAACCAAAUCUGUAGUGUAAAAACAAGCGGUUUUCUGACAGCUAAUUAAAGGGCUGAUAUUUUCCAGACAGAUAAUUCACUUAAACAGAGAACCACACUUUGUUGAAAGUUGGAGUUUGUUGAACCCAGCUCAUUUAUAUGAUAGAGCUAACUGCAUCUUCAGCGAACGCCUCGUUUCUGUUUUUGUCCCUCACCCUGUUUCUCAACAAAGGGGCCAAAAAGAGGGAGCAGACCAUAAUCCCCUGUGGUUUAUGCAAUUUCUGUUGACAAGUACCUCAUACAACCCCACUUCAAAAAACCCUGACUAUCCCUUUAAUUUCUAUAUCUUCCAAUAUUCAACACAUUGCACUCAAAACACACAGAAUCAUGCGCGCAGACACGUGUGGCUCAGGGGGAAGCCCUGGUGCAUAAAUCAAACAUGUAGUCGAGCGUACAGCUGAUGGAAAAAAAAAUCAGAUUUCCAAAAUUCACAUGCUCAGCAUACUUGACAUAGUGUUCUGGAUAUCAUGUUUCUGAUCGAGACCCUCACAAAAUCUGGGCUUUUUAGGCUGUCCUCUUAUUUCAUUAGAUUUGUCAUGUUUACUGGCUGUCCUGAUGACACACAGUUGAGCAAUUUACGAGUCUGCAGAAAAGUUUUCAGAAAGCAGCUGAUUUAGUGCGGCUUUGUCGGGUUACAUUCUCCCUUCAACUGAACGCAAACAAAAGAAAACCAUUAAAAAUUAGAAAAUAUACAGAGAGGAGUCAUGUAGGGUUCACUUUUUUUAGCUGCCAGGAGUCGAAGCUUAUAAACCACAACUGCCAAACUGUGCGCUCAAGUUCCCUCUGAAGGCAGCAUCAAUUGGUUCGACAAUGCUUCAGAGAUGACUCAGUCUGCGUCUCACUGAAGAGAGAAAGCUGUCCUCGAAUUAAAGCUGAACACUGGAUAAAUAUUAUACUACUACCAUCUAACUAUUAAAUAUUAUAACACCACCAUUUUAAAUCUAUUCUCCCUCCUUUUUACAGGAGUGCCUUUAUUUAAGCAUCCCUGCAGACCAACAUCCUACCUUUAGCCCACCCCCCACUGUUUUCAUCACCGCCUUUGUCAUCGUAAACCGGCCUCUUUUGUCCGAGUGCAGAGAAGCCUUUCUAUUGAUAGUGCAGUAUUUUUCAUGUCAGGUGAUAACAGCCAUAUGGUUUAGUUUAUCAAUGAGAGCUAUGUUUCAACAUCGACUUGGCUCAGACCUACCCCCCUAAAUACUUAUAUAUAAUAAUGUUUCUAUUGUAGUAUAAUUUGCAAACAGGACUGUGUUCUCCUAAAUGAAAAAGAAGAAUCAGAUAGAUGUUUGAGUUCUGUUUAUCUGUUUAUGUUCUCGCUCUGAAAUGACAGAUAUAAAGUACCUUUUUAUCAAAAGAGCACAGCCAGUCUCCUCGACUAUAAUCACCUGCUAUUAUGUCAAGAACGCAAUAAUUUGUUUUAACUCUGUGGCACACAUAAUUUGAGAGAACUACCCCGCAGCAAGCCUCUUGUUGCCAACUCAACAUGCCAUACAAAUACACACAGACAAAAAAGAAAAACCUCUGCAGGAAUGCUUUGAGAAUAUAAGCUAGCCCAGGGAGACGAGUGCAGUUCUGAUGGGUGCUAUUGUAACCUGAUGAGCCCUGAGGCCAAGCUUCAACAGUUUCUGAGGGGAUGGAGGUGGAGAUGAUCACUUCACUGCUGUGGCUCAUCUUAAAACCCAAACCCCUAAUUAUCUGUGAUAGAACCACACAAGUUGUAAUAAAAGCAGCAGGUAACUUUAAGAAAGUAAAGAAACAGAGAGUGUUAAAAAUGUCAGUGUGCUGAAUUUGAAAGUUGGUGCGUGCAACAACUUAUAAAUUUCCUCUGACACACUUGUCCUACCUGACAAUCAGCUGAUGUAAUUUAAAGAAAGUUCCUCUGUGUGUUUUGUUAGAGUCAUGCAGUGUUCGUGAAGUUAAAACAGUCCUCUACCUUCUGCACAAGCCCUCUUUCUUUUUUUUUUUCUUCUUCACUGACGUAAGGCUCCCGAGGAUCAGUGAUAAAUAUUCCACUUUGCGUCCAAAUCCACAAGAUGCCAGGGAGAGGAAAACAAAUUCUUUGUAAAUUAUCCCAAACAGUCCUUUCAGAGUCUUGCACUUGUUUGAAAACUGUUCAGAAAGUAAGUGAGAAGCGUCCCAGAGGCUGCAGACGGUGCAGGCUGCAGAGAGCUGCAGGUCCUAGUGCCUGUCUGACUCCACAAGUCCAGAGCUGAUCGAGGGCUGAUCCUUCACUCGGUUACAUCUUUAGCUGCAGCUCAUGUUUAGAAAAGUUGAAGUGCUGCUGUAAUUUUUGUUAUUGUUCACACAAACAGUCCCAGAUUUUCAAUGAUUGUAUUUUUCAGGAACUUUAGUUGACCAAACUUUUUCACAGGACAGCUCAUCCUAACUUUGGCGCAUAUUUAUGUAAGCUAGUUUUUCUGAAGUUCAUGUUAAAAGUCAAAGAUAAUCCACGACUGAACCCUCCUUUUUUAUUUUCUAGAAAUGGAUUUUAGAGGCUUUUGAUGCCCUUAUUUAGCAUAUAAGACAGUGGGCAUGGUAGGUGGUAUGAAAGAGUACGUUAUGACAGACAGCACAAGGGCUGGGUAUCGAUUCAGAUUUUCCAGAUCGAUUCAUUUCAAUAUUAUAAGGUCCAGAUUCAACAUCGAUUCAGUCAUGGAUACCUGUUAAAAUAAUGCUGUAAAUUUAACAAGGUUACCAAUGUGGUACAUUAUUAAAAAUUAUGUGUACAUUAAGAAUUAAACCCAAACCAGUAACAUUAAUCAUGUACUUUUAUUUCAACAUGACAAUGUGAAGACAAGAAAACAUAAAUUAAUCAAAAUUAAAUUAAAAUAAAUUACGAGGCAGACAAUGUAAAUAAAGUGGCGACAAAUAUAAACAGGUCUUCCAGCUUUUCUGCAAUAAUACCACAGUGGUUGUGAGACACACAACUGUAUCAACAAACAACUAUCUUUUGACUCAUGGAUAAAUGUACGGGAAAUGAAAUUGUGCAAGAAGUCAGACUUUUUGGGGCAUGGUCUUGGCCAGCAUCCCCUGCCUGCCUCAAGAACUUUGUUUUUAUAUUACACUUAUUGUUCUAGUUAUUCUUGUGCAUGCAUCCUUAAUUCUGUAGGCCAGGUGUAUGAAAAGCGAGCUGAACGCUCAUGCAGGACCGGUGGGAAAGGACCACUUAAUGUAGGGUCCAGUUUUUAUUUAUUAGAUAAAUAAUCAAACUCAGGCGUCAUUAAGGGUGUCACAUAAUUAAUGUGUUACCUUUUGGCCAAUAAUUGUAUCUGAAGAAAUUUUCCUACCAAUGAGGACUUCUUAUUAGUUAGGAACUGCAGAUACCAAUAUCAUGCUGUUGUCGUCCACCCCUGCUUCGACUCUGGAGUGGUAAUUCAGGCCUGUUUGUUGCAGGAACUGGAUUGAUAGCAUGCAGACCACUCCAAGAUCUGAUUGGAAGCAACUUGAGACCACUUCUUCCCCUUCACUUCCCCUUCGCUGGUUUUCGUUCAGCAUCAGAACGCUGCUGCUGCGUUCAUGUAUGUCCAAACAACCCGAGCUGAGAGCGAAACGCCUCCUGUUUUAGAUAACUUCUUGAAAAACAAUCCAGGUGUGACGGAACAUUAACACUUCAGAUGUCACUGAAAGUUAUAAGACGUUUUGAAGCUCCUCAUCUGGCAUGAAUAAUUUAUAAGCAGUGACGGCUCGUCUGAUUGUUGUGUGACACAUAAAAAAUGGCUUCAAAUAACUUUUUUCCUUUCUUUUUAUAAUUUCCCCGUAGUAAAUUUAGUUUAAGUGAUUAGCCCGGAUUGGUUUUUAGUAUUUUCCCUUUUCAAAAACAGCAGCAGAUGUUUCACAGAGACAGAUGUUCAUGAGAUCAUUUAUUUUAAGCAAUUAGACGAGCAGAAGAGGACUUUUCCAAAGAUUUCUCAUUACUGAAGUAUUUAUUUGGCUGAUAUCGAGGUCAGUAGUGACAAACCUCUGAAUUCUCACGCUUCUCAUUUCUAACAUCCUACUAGGGCUGGGCGAUAUGGCCUCAUAUCAAUAUCACGGUAUAUUGAUCAGUUCACGUCGAUAACGAUAAAUGGACGAUAACUACUCCACAAGCUGCUCACCCCCUCCCACAUUAACUUCGUCUACUUCAGCCACUACAACUUUUGAACCGUCCUCCAUCUCCUCACCUGUCUUUCCCUCUUUGUUACGGACUGGAUGGGGUGGAGUCACGUCUCUGACGUAGGACAGCGUCUUAAAGGGACAUGAGACCAUAACCUACCUACACACAUUAAAAAACAACUUUUAGUUAUUUAUUUUUUUGACACAGAAUAUACCGAUAUGGGCAAAAUGAUGUUGUUAUUGUUGUAAAUUUUAGCAUUGGUAAAUUUUCAGUUUAUCGCCCAGCCCUAAUAAGGCUAUUACAGUAAAAUAAACCCUUAUGGGUACUAUACUGUGUGAUUACAUAGAAGUUUGAGUUCAGGCUUGAUUUGUCAUUUCUUCAUUAAUUAUGAGAAUAACAUAAUUUUAUUGUGCAAAUCAGAAUCAAAAUACUUUAUUUAUCCCCAAAUGACAAAUUUGUUGAUUGUGAUCGAAUGAUUGUGCUUUUAAUGUUGCGAGAAAGUAAAAUUCAUGCAUACAUUUGUUCAUAAGAUGAACAGGGACACACUUUGUACAGCAGCUUGAUAAGCUAGCUGUUCUUCAACAAUAUUUACUUAACUGAAUUAUGUUGUUAUUUUAACCUACAUUUUUUAGUCGUAAAAGUUCAGUAUGAGUACAUUUUCGGUUUAUCGCCCAGCCCUACAUUCUACAAUCAUUUUUCUCACAUUUUUGAGUCAUCUUAGGUUUUUUGUGUUCCCCCAAAUUGGUAAAAUUGUUCAAUUUAUUUUCAUCUUAUGUAAUUGUCAACACCAGCUUGUGCAGCGGAUAGAGUUACAGUGCGUUGGUGUGUUCGAGCAGCGAGAGUGAAUGGUGCUAAUGUUUCAGGAGAAGAUUUGAGCUCAGAGGUGAGACGGCGUAAACUAAUCCAGGUGUGGGAAAAGUACGUAUGUGACCGCGCUCGGGUGUUUCAUAUGGAUCAGUGCGUCUAUUCUCUCUCAUCUCAACUCGGACACAAGGUCACAGGGCGGUUGUUUUUCGUACCCCUUCCUCAUAAAUAACAUAAUCACUGAGAUUUAUUUUCAAGUAAGGGCUUCAGUGUGUUUGCAUGUAUGUCAACGCCAGUCUCACACAUCUGGUUCCUAAUAGGGACACAUGGAAGCAAAAUGUUCUUACCAUAUUACACGAGGGUUGUUGCACUUAUGGCUUUGAUUAUUUCUCUGAACUCUUCAUGGUUGGUAUUUUUGAAAACGGUCACAGCCAUCACUCUCUUGUUUUCAGCUAGUUCUGUGCUACAUGAUGGAUUAAAUACAACAUGCCAUCCUUGAGGAAGAGUUAAAGUUGUGUGUGGAGACUCUGAAGGACCAGAUACCAAGCUAGUGUUGGAUGUUUCCUUCUUUGGCACUGCAGGGCUUUGGGGAUUCGAAGCCUGGCCUCCCACUCAUCUCCUGUAAAACUCGUUUGCAGAAGCUCAUUUAGCCACUCAGACUCCUCUGCUGUUCAUCACACAUUUUGGACAUCUUUAGACACGGCUGGGAAUUAACGUAGCGGGGAGGAAGCAUGGCUGGGAAUACGUGCGGUGGAAACAUAAGUCACACGUGGUUGUUUUUGGAGACAGAUAGCUUUUGUUUCCAGGGUUCAGAUGUGAACACAAAGCCCACAGUCACUUUUUUUUCUAUUUAACCUGAAAGGGUUCUCUGGAAAAACACAGGGUGGGUCACUUAAAUGUUUGUUUUGGUAUUGUUGUGUCUUGUGUAAACAUAAAAUAGUGUUGAAAUUAAAUUUUGGCAGUAGCACACAGCCGUCCCUCCAUGGGAAACUAUGUGUUUCAUUAGUAAGUCAUUCAUUUUCCAGUAACUCUGCUGUUGUUCAAAGGUCACUCUGAAGAUACAGUUUGUUAAAAACUCUUACUGUCAUCAGAGGUUUAUGUGACUCUUAUAUCCCGAGUAUAUCAUUCAUAAAUCAACGUAUAAUUAUUGGAAUAUAAACAUCAUUUAUACUUGUCAGGAUAGGAUCCCCUCCCACAAAAGCUGACAUUUUAUAUUCCUUUUUUUUGUAUUCGCACAGAACAAACUAGUAACAUUGGUAUUUGUUAUGUAGUGAAGACUUGUGUGCAAAAUAAUUUGUAUCGAUAGUAGGGGUGUCACGAUUUGGAUUUUUUAUCGAAAUCGAUCGAAAUUAUGUCAUUGUCUCGUUAAUUGAAAUCAAAGAGAGGAUCGACGAUCUCCCUCCAUGGAUGUGCAGCAGACAAAUCUGUGGCACCUGUGUGAUGCCAUCAGGUUGAUAUGGACAAAAAUAUUCAAGACCUCGUUGAAAGUGUGCCAUUAAGGUGUAAGGGGGUCCAACCCGGUUCUGGCAAGGUGUACCUAAUAAAGUGGCCAGUGAGUGCAUUUCUAACUAAGUAUUCCCAAUUCUACACUCUUAAAGUUAACUGGAAGACUUACAUAAUCUUAAAAAUACAACUAUCAAGUUAGCAGUGAUCAUUAAAUACCAUCUGAUUACUUUUUUAAAAGUAUAUUUCCAUUUCAAUUCAUGUUACCUGCUUUUUUUAAGAAGCAGUUUGUUUUAGCGAAGGCACCAAGAACUCUGUUGGGAGUAAAGCAACGACACCGUCUGGAAAAAAGACAAUGAAUUUAGUUUCCACAGUUUAUUUAUGGUCUCUUUGUGGAGUGCUCCUAAUGUCCUUUGACUUAAGUACGGCUAAGAUGUGAAUUUAUCGCAUGUAUGUUCGUCGUCUGUGGCUCUACUCCAUCUUCAGGGAUACAUCUUAUGAUCUCCUGCUUUCCCAUGAGUCUUUCGGUCUGGCUGGAUUCUGUUCCUCACAUCUUCUUAAAUCUCCUCAGGAUGAAGAUCUGCCAAGCGGCCUCUCAUAUAACUUGUACGAUCCCUUGAUGUCUAAGUCGUCGCAGUUAAGCCGAGUCUGCAUUUUGUUAUGUUGUUUGUCCGUCACCAUUUCUCCUUCCUUGUUUCUUGACAUGGAGAAACCAAAAUGGUUCCACGCAUCAGAUUGAAAAGCCGCUGGAGCAUACCCAAUUUCAAAACAGUCUCUGUUUUUCACCACUAAUGUUGGUGUGUGCUAGUUUAGCUGUUCUGGAGGCAGCAAGAGGCAGAGUACGGAGGAUGCUGGGUAUGUACGGGAUGGUGGUCCCUCUGCUCUGCUUCACUGCGGCUGGAAUAAAACCACACUGAGCUUGGAAGACAUACUGUGUCAUACUAUUCAGGUCCACAAGAGAACUGAGACCCUUUUGUUCUCAUGAUGUUGUGAAAUUGACAGCUAGUGGUUAAUUGUAGGGAUGCACGAUACUUAUCGAGUUAUUUUUAUCGUUAAGAUAGCAAAAUAAAAUCUGAUAAAUUGAUCAGAUAAAUAAAUGACUGGGAAAAAUUUGUUUGUAAAUCGUGUAGCCCCUAAACAUGAUGUGUCACGCUGGUUACAUCGUCUUUCGUGUCUUACCGCUAGGACCCAAGCCUGGCCUCCUUACUACCUGACUGACAAUGAAUCAGUGCUAAUAGCACAUCUCCUGAGCUAGCAUGUCUUCACCAGUGUGGACGUUUUUCUCAGUGGCAGCAGAUGACAGCAACAUCGCUGUAUGCAAAACAUGCGCUGCAAGGAUUUCGAGAGGAGGAAAGAAAGCGUCAAGCUUUAACACGACAAAUCUUAUAGCUCACCUGAAACGUCGUCAUUGUGGAGAAGCGGUAUUAAAAGAAUACGAAGCUGCCACAGAAGCUCCUGUACUGCAGGCAUUUGAAACCUGUAAAAACUUUGCUAGAGACGGUAAAAAGGCUAAAGCCAUUAAUGAAAAAGUGAUGGAGUUCAUAGCGCUUGACAGCCAGCCUUUUAUCCCCAAUUUCCACCGCAUUCAGAACUGCGCCAAUUUUCGCCAUCCACCAAUUCCUACCAGAUCCGGUUUUGAGGUUCGUGAUACUAAAAUAGAACAUUUUUAACCACUGAAUCCUCGUUUUUGUAUCAUCCUGGAUGCACAAACCAGAUUAUAUUAAAUACAAAUAUUAAUUUAUCAGUAUCGGCAGUGAGUAGCAGGAAUUUAUUGGUUAUCAGUAUCUGUAGAAAUUUUUCAUAUCGUGCAUCUCUAGUUAGUUGCAUAGUUGAAGUACAUCACAGAUCUUACCACUUUACUAACAUUUGAACCUGUUUAAAGAAUUGAAGUCAUGCUUCUUAAAUGGAAGCAAAUCAACUGAAUGAAGUCAGCAAUACUUCAGACGACAGGCUGUAUUUGGAGACUUGGCUGAGAGAAGAUGUAACAGCACCCCUCAUGCCUUCAUGAUGACUCUUUUUGAUAGACAAGCUCUUGUUAUAGAAAUCAAAACCAGAACAGGGAUAAAGAAUAAUAGAAAUAAGCUGUGUGGUUUCAAACACACCCUCUUCCAAACCUAACACAAUCUCAGCUACCACUGACAUGAACGGUAUUUCACAGAUGACCACAGAUCUGUCCAUAUUGUAAGGGAAUACUGUAACUGAGUUUUUCCUGAAGAAAGAAAACGCAAGCCCCGCUGUUACGAUCCACAUCUGGCCUUCAUCAGCCACAUCAACUCGGAUCUCGCUUUGAAGAGACAGCUGACUUCGUGGAACUGAGCAGGAAGUAAGGGCUUAAUCUUGAUUCUAUGAAACAUUCAGAUUUGAUUAGUACAAAGACACAGCAGAGCAACAUGCAGAGCGGUUCAUCUUUCUCAGUCACAUUUACCUCUCCAGGUCGACAGCGGUUCUGCCGCACAUCGGUUAAGAUGCUAACGAGAAAACAUGCGUACUGUCAUGAUCAGAUUAGCAGAUUAUCUGGGGAUAUAUUUUCCUUUCUUUAAGAUUAUCACAAAUCUGUAUUACACAGAGAAAAAUAGCUGCUGUUAUCCUUAUUGAGGUUCCUGGAAAUAUGACAAAUGACAAAAUGACAAAACCAAAUAAGAAAAAAUAUUACAUAAAAUAAUUGUAAGUUUUUUCCUCUUUUCAACAGGCUUUACCACAUAUUCAGGCAGGCAGGAAAAAAAUCCACCAACCAAUCAAUUUUGUGUCACAUACUAUACAUUUCUUUCAGCACACCUCACUGAGAUAUUAUGGUAUCAUGUUGAACAGAAGAGGCCAGAACAAGAUCCGGAGCCAAAUUCCUUCAGCAGAUCCAUUUUUGAUCAAUUCAAGCCUGAACUCACAGAGCAGGACGAUCGACUCCGAAACCAAGAAAUCCUCAGAGGAAAAUCACCACAAAGAAAAGUCCUGAUGAGCUCUUUAACUCUUUAAUAAUAACAGAUGUGAAUUAUGUUUA